Molecule: ribosomal RNA, 460 nt
Filed under: uncultured bacterium
Lineage: Bacteria
Description: partial 16S ribosomal RNA
Rfam family: Bacterial small subunit ribosomal RNA
Source: RNAcentral
CCUACGGGAGGCUGCAGUGAGGAAUAUUGGUCAAUGGGAGGAAUCCUGAACCAGCCAUGCCGCGUGCAGGACGACGGCUCUACGAGUUGUAAACUGCUUUUGUACCGGGGUAAAAUGCCUUACGUGUAGGGUUUUGAAAGUACGGUACGAAUAAGGAUCGGCUAACUCCGUGCCAGCAGCCGCGGUAAUACGGAGGAUCCGAGCGUUAUCCGGAUUCAUUGGGUUUAAAGGGUGCGUAGGUUGUUUUAUAAGUUAGCGGUGAAAUACCGAUGCUCAACAUCGGGGCUGCCGCUAAUACUGUAGGACUAGAGGUCGGAUGCAGCAGGCGGAAUGUGUAGUGUAGCGGUGAAAUGCAUAGAUAUCGCGCAGAACUCCGAUUGCGAAGGCAGCGUACCGGCGCCGGACUGACGCUGAGGCACGAAAGCGUGGGUAUCGAACAGGAUUAGAUACCCCUGUAGUC